GACGAACGCUGGCGGCGUGCUUAACACAUGCAAGUCGAACGGAAAGGCCCCGCUUUUGUGGGGUGCUCGAGUGGCGAACGGGUGAGUAACACGUGAGUAACCUGCCCUUGACUUUGGGAUAACUUCAGGAAACUGGGGCUAAUACCGGAUAGGAGCUCCUGCUGCAUGGUGGGGGUUGGAAAGUUUCGGCGGUUGGGGAUGGACUCGCGGCUUAUCAGCUUGUUGGUGGGGUAGUGGCUUACCAAGGCUUUGACGGGUAGCCGGCCUGAGAGGGUGACCGGCCGCAUUGGGACUGAGAUACGGCCCAGACUCCUACGGGAGGCAGCAGUGGGGAAUAUUGCACAAUGGGCGGAAGCCUGAUGCAGCAACGCCGCGUGCGGGAUGACGGCCUUCGGGUUGUAAACCGCUUUCGCCUGUGACGAAGCGUGAGUGACGGUAAUGGGUAAAGAAGCACCGGCUAACUACGUG
This 468-nucleotide ribosomal RNA is filed under the name uncultured bacterium. Its description in RNAcentral is "partial 16S ribosomal RNA". It matches the Rfam family "Bacterial small subunit ribosomal RNA", at positions 28 to 507 of the family's 1533-position model. The record is from RNAcentral.